RNAcentral lists this small RNA (1538 nucleotides) under Pongo abelii (Sumatran orangutan). RNAcentral's name for it is "processed transcript". The record is from RNAcentral. Lineage: Eukaryota; Metazoa; Chordata; Mammalia; Primates; Hominidae.
UUUCCGGACCCGUCUCUAUGGUGUGGGAGAAACCCGGCCACCAGAAGAUUGUGGGUGUAGUGGCCACAGCCUUAGAGGCAGGCAGGGGUGGUUGGUGUCAACAGGGGGGCCAACAGGGUACCAGAGCCAAGACCCUCGGCCUCCUCCCCCGCCGCCCUCCUGCAGAUCUGCUUGGCUUUAAGGAAGAGUGGCAGUACUGCCUCACUGCAUAAGGGAUGGGAUCAGAGAACAGUGCUUUAAAGAGCUAUACACUGAAAGAACCACCAUUUACCUUACCCUCUGGACUUGCUGUUUAUCCCGCUGUACUGCAAGAUGGCAAAUUUGCUUCAGUGUUUGUGUAUAAGAGAGAAAAUGAAGACAAGGUUAAUAAAGCUGCCAAGCAUUUGAAGACACUUCGUCACCCUUGCUUGCUAAGAUUUUUAUCUUGUACUGUGGAAGCGGAUGGCAUUCAUCUUGUCACUGAGCGAGUACAGCCCCUGGAAGUGGCUUUGGAAACACUGUCUUCUGCAGAGGUCUGUGCUGGGAUCUAUGACAUAUUGCUGGCUCUUAUCUUCCUUCAUGACAGAGGACACCUAACACACAAUAAUGUCUGUUUAUCAUCUGUGUUUGUGAGUGAAGAUGGGCACUGGAAGCUAGGAGGAAUGGAAACUGUUUGUAAAGUUUCUCAGGCCACACCAGAGUUUCUGAGGAGUAUUCAGUCAAUAAGAGACCCAGCAUCUAUCCCUCCUGAAGAGAUGUCUCCAGAAUUCACAACUCUCCCAGAGUGUCAUGGACAUGCCCGGGAUGCCUUUUCAUUUGGAACACUGGUGGAAAGUUUGCUCACAAUCUUAAAUGAACAGGGUUGGUUUUUGCUCUCGGCAGUCUCCAGCUAUAGAGGUCCUGAAAAGAGGGAGAAGGCAUUGGAAACUAACUGUAGCUCUGGAUUUCAGUUUCAGCGGAUGUUCUCUCCAGCUUUCAACAGACCUUGCACUCAACUUUGCUGAAUCCCAUUCCAAAAUGUCGGCCAGCGCUCUGCACCUUACUAUCUCAUGACUUCUUCAGAAAUGAUUUUCUGGAAGUUGUGAAUUUCUUGAAAAGUUUAACAUUGAAGAGUGAAGAGGAAAAAACGGAAUUCUUUAAAUUUCUGCUGGACAGAGUCAGCUGCUUGUCGGAGGAAUUGAUAGCUUCAAGGUUGGUGCCUCUUCUGCUUAAUCAGUUGGUGUUUGCAGAGCCAGUGGCUGUUAAGAGUUUUCUUCCUCAUCUGCUUGGCCCCAAAAAAGAUCAUGCGCAGGGAGAAACUCCUUGCUUGCUCUCACCAGCCCUGUUCCAGUCACGGGUGAUCCCCGUGCUUCUCCAGUUGUUUGAAGUUCAUGAAGAGCAUGUGCGGAUGGUGCUGCUGUCUCACAUCGAGGCCUACGUGGAGCACUUCACUCAGGAGCAGCUGAAGAAAGUCAUCUUGCCACAGGUUUUGCUGGGCCUGCGUGAUACUAGUGAUUCCAUUGUGGCAAUUACUCUGCAUAGCCUAGCAGUGCUGGUCUCUCUGCUUGGACCAGAGGUGG